GACGAACGCUGGCGGCGUGCCUAAUACAUGCAAGUUGAGCGAUGAAGAUUGGUGCUUGCACCAAUUUGAAGAGCAGCGAACGGGUGAGUAACGCGUGGGGAAUCUGCCUUUGAGCGGGGGACAACAUUUGGAAACGAAUGCUAAUACCGCAUAAUAACUUUAAACAUAAGUUUUAAGUUUGAAAGAUGCAAUUGCAUCACUCAAAGAUGAUCCCGCGUUGUAUUAGCUAGUUGGUGAGGUAAAGGCUCACCAAGGCGAUGAUACAUAGCCGACCUGAGAGGGUGGUCGGCCACAUUGGGACUGGGACACGGCCCAAACUCCUACGGGAGGCAGCAGUAGGGAAUCUUCGGCAAUGGACGAAAGUCUGACCGAGCAACGCCGCGUGAGUGAAGAAGGUUUUCGGAUCGUAAAACUCUGUUGGUAGAGAAGAACGUUGGUGAGAGUGGAAAGCUCAUCAAGUGACGGUAACUACCCAGAAAGGGACGGCUAACUACGUG
RNAcentral lists this ribosomal RNA (497 nucleotides) under uncultured bacterium. RNAcentral describes it as "partial 16S ribosomal RNA". It matches the Rfam family "Bacterial small subunit ribosomal RNA", at positions 28 to 507 of the family's 1533-position model. The record is from RNAcentral.